This 444-nucleotide long non-coding RNA is filed under the name Nicotiana tabacum (common tobacco). Its description in RNAcentral is "long non-coding RNA (NTAB_LNC013739)". Lineage: Eukaryota; Viridiplantae; Streptophyta; Magnoliopsida; Solanales; Solanaceae. The record is from RNAcentral.
CAGUUGCAAGAGCACUCCACUUCCAACCAACAGAUUGGGAGUUCAAGCCAUCAAGGCAAAAAAGGGGAAAGGGUCACAGUGGCGCCAUAUCAAUAUACUUACAUACAUCUAUAAUUUGUUUGAUAGGUAAAAGGAAUAAAUAUACACAAACACACAUACAUACAAACAUACAUACACACACAUAUACAUAUAACUGCAGAUUAAAAUUCCUCCAAAACAGUUACCGAGGAUCCAACUUGAGUCUGGCAGUCACUCAAGUUUCUGUAGACUCCAACAAGAUCUCCUUUCUUAACAACAAAGAAGCCAUUAUCUUCCUUCAUUAUUGGAGUAGGAUCAAACUUUCUGAAAGAGAACUAUCUCCACUACACUUGUUAGAUGCUAACUCGUAUUCAGCAAAAGUCAAAAUCAACUUCUAAUUCAAGCAUGAGCAAAAGCUUGCACCGG